Non-coding RNA from Prunus mume (Japanese apricot), 678 nucleotides. NCBI's taxonomy places the organism in Eukaryota, Viridiplantae, Streptophyta, Magnoliopsida, Rosales, Rosaceae. The record is from RefSeq and is a predicted model, not a curated record.
UCUUUUUGUUUUCUCAAUUCUUUAUAUGAUAUGUGAUCCAUCUAUAAAAGAGAGUUGAUAAAAGGAAAAAAAAAUAUAGAAAAGACAAAAAAUUGAAUUCUGGUAUGUUACAGUUAAGGGACAUCGCAAAGCAAAUUGACUUCUUGGUCUCUUUCCGUGGUAAAGGCAACAGCUUUCUCUGCGUCGUCUUUCCUUGCUCUGCCUGAGCCUCCGCGUUGUAUUCCAAAAGGCGUAGCUCUCUCUCUCUUUCAGGGAAAUUUGCAAGCAAAGGUCCGAGGAAAUGGUGGUUUGCUUUCCGUCCACGCCCAAGAGGUUGGCUAUGACAAUAGGAUGCUUCAUUUCUGCUGCUGCUCUUUUUGCUUUUGGUGCUCAUAUCUCUUAUGUCAAUGUUGCCCCGCAACAAGCUCGAACCAAAGCUCGAAAUGAGUUUGUGAGAGAACGGCUGAAACAGAAGUAUGGCAAAUGAUAGAACACGCAGUAUUGGCAUAUUGCAGUUGGGUUUUCGGAUUGCAUGCCGUUGAAAGAAAAAAUGACACUUGAGUUGUGAAUUUUAUGGUCAUACCAUUCUGGGAUGAACAUCCUGCUCUUGUUUUUCUUUUCUUUUCUUUUUCUUUUUGUUUACAUUGUACGACAUACAACAGGGAUGAUAAAUAAUUUUGAUGGCCAUGAUUUGAUUGA